CUUGUGUUAGUGCUGCAUUAAUUGCAGCUUGUAUCAUCUUGAUUUGGGGUGGUUUAAAGCAGUAGCAUGGGGUAAAGACUUCUCUUCCUUCUUUUAGUGUUAGAAAAGUUGUAAAAAUCAUGGAGAGCCCAGUUCAUCUCCUGCCUGCUGCCCUGCUGUAGGCUUUUCCCUCUUCUCCCCACAUUGGCCCUCUCUCUGAUUAGUGAAGCCUAUGAGAGUAUUUGCAGCUCUCAAGUUCUCUUAUGAAAUAUGAGCUUAACUUCAAGGCACAACAGUGCUGAUGGUGAAAAUGGAGAUGACUUGUGAUUUAUUCCUAAUCUGAAGAAAACCCCAAACUACACCAACUACGCAAAACUCUGCAAGUACAGGGACCUGCAAUCUCCACCGAAUGAUGGGACUUGUGAAAAACAGGCUACUUAAGGAGAAAACAAAACCAAUUGAAAGAAGAGGAAAUAUCACCUUUGUCCACUUGUCCCACUUGCUGUUUGCAGAAUCACUGAGCUAUCAAACAGUCCCUUUUAAGCACUUUUAUCCCCUAUGAAAUUGUUAAACGCGUCUUGGCUAGAAUAACACUGGAAUGUCAAAACUUGUUUAGGUAUUUGAUCCACAGAGGACAAAGUAUAAAAUCUAUAGCUAAUCAAGUAAAAGAGGAAUAAAAUGUGCUUAACUG
Long non-coding RNA from Neopsephotus bourkii (Bourke's parrot), 670 nucleotides. RefSeq lists it as uncharacterized. NCBI's taxonomy places the organism in Eukaryota, Metazoa, Chordata, Aves, Psittaciformes, Psittacidae. The record is from RefSeq and is a predicted model, not a curated record. The transcript has 2 exons.